Molecule: long non-coding RNA, 177 nt
Organism: Etheostoma spectabile (orangethroat darter)
Lineage: Eukaryota; Metazoa; Chordata; Actinopteri; Perciformes; Percidae
Exons: 3
Source: RefSeq, a predicted model, not a curated record
GUGCUGGUCUUACAGGGAGUGUGUUCAGGUGCAUUCUGGGGGUGCUGGUCUUACAGGGAGGUGUGUUCAGGUGCAUUCUGGGCGUGCUGGUCUUACAGGGAGGUGUUUCAGGUGCAUUCUGGGCGUGCUGGUCUUACAGGAGGUGUGUUCAGGUGCAUUCUUGGCGGGCUGGUCUUA